RNAcentral lists this ribosomal RNA (233 nucleotides) under uncultured bacterium. Its description in RNAcentral is "partial 16S ribosomal RNA". It matches the Rfam family "Bacterial small subunit ribosomal RNA", at positions 15 to 237 of the family's 1533-position model. The record is from RNAcentral.
GAUCAUGGCUCAGGAUGAACGCUAGCGACAGGCCUAACACAUGCAAGUCGAGGGGCAGUGGAGAGGUAGCGAUACCUUUGCCGGCGACCGGCGCACGGGUGAGUAACACGUAUGCAAUCCACCUGUAACAGGGGGAUAACCCGGAGAAAUCCGGACUAAUACCCCAUAAUAUGGGCGCUCCGCAUGGAGAGCCCAUUAAAGAGAGCAAUUUUGGUUACAGACGAGCAUGCGCU